UACCAGCACCCCGAGUGGUCGGGACGAUUAUUGGGCCUAAAGCAUCCGUAGCCGGCCUUACAAGUCCUCCGUUAAAUCCAGCUGCUUAACAGAUGGGCUGCGGAGGAUACUAUAAGACUAGGAGGCAGGAGAGGCAAGCGGUACUCAGUGGGUAGGGGUAAAAUCCGUUGAUCCAUUGAAGACCACCAGUGGCGAAGGCGGCUUGCCAGAAGUCGCGCUCGACGGUGAGGGAUGAAAGCUGGGGGAGCAAACCGG
This 255-nucleotide ribosomal RNA is filed under the name uncultured bacterium. RNAcentral describes it as "partial 16S ribosomal RNA". It matches the Rfam family "Archaeal small subunit ribosomal RNA", at positions 474 to 727 of the family's 1478-position model. The record is from RNAcentral.